Molecule: long non-coding RNA, 2119 nt
Filed under: Ricinus communis (castor bean)
Lineage: Eukaryota; Viridiplantae; Streptophyta; Magnoliopsida; Malpighiales; Euphorbiaceae
Description: long non-coding RNA (RCOM_LNC003404)
Source: RNAcentral
UUAGCUCGAUAGCUCCCUAUUCAAAUGAGGAUUCCUAUUAAGCUAAGGGUAGAAAUGAAAACAAGAGGCUUGCUUUCCCUGAGGUAAAGAUUAAUAGAGGCUAUUCUACUAGAUGUAUUGAAAAUUAUAUUACCCUAGUCUGCCCUAACUCGUGACCUAGACCUUGCUCUAGUUAUAUUGACUAUAAUUAUAUUAUAUCCAGGUAAAGAAUAUGAAAAAUUAUCAUUAGAUCUGGCCGAGUAAAGAAAUCUAUAUAGAUCCCUCCCAGGGAAGGAAUUAGCUCUAUCGUUGAAUCUAAAAUCUUAUCGUUAGCCCUAAGGAAAAGACCUCUAUUUUAUCUUAGCAUGCUUACUUAAAACAAGCUUGUUGCAAAUACUCCUGCAAUGACUGAUACGGAGACUACUCUACAGCAGGGUGGGUGCUUCUCAUAAGCUCAUAAUCAUAAGGGGACUGCUUGAAAGCUUGAUUUCUCACAAGCUAACUCACUUGCUUUUGUGUAAAGAAACUGAAAUGAAAGUCUCGAAUGAAGAGCGAGGAAAGCUUUAGCUUACUAGCUUUUUUAGUCAGAUCUGGAGAUCCUUAGUUCGUUAGCUUCUUAGGAAGGGAUGGGCUUUUUUUCUCUAACUGGCACUGGAACUGUAAGGACGAAGCACUCCAACUGGGGCGCAUAGACCUCCAAGCAACUCAAACUGGAUUGUUAAACUUGCCUUAUCUCGCAGUUUUCACUGGCUAACCCUACAUAGCUUGAGAAGAAAUAGUACUUCCGCGCUUAGCUUACUUGAUACUAGCUUGCCUGACCCGACAUAGGAACUACGAGGGAAAAAAAAAGGAAAUAAUUUUGAGUAUUCUCCAUAUAUAUAUCCUACUAUGGAAAUAUAUAGCCAGCCCUGGAGAUCGUUAGAGCGUCAGCCCAUUAACCUCCUUAUCCUCGAGACUCUCGUAACAGCCUCGUAUUAUAUCCACGUAUUAUCCUCGUGGUAUCCAAUAAUAGUCAUGUUAUCCAUGUAAAGCCACGUAACAGAAAGGUUAUACGCUUUAGACAUCUUAGACACGGUAUUACUACUAUGAAAGGUACAACUGCUAGUCACUCCGGGCCCUAUGAACGCCCUAUACAUGCUUUCGAAAAAGGAGGUCAUCCGAGAUUCUCCUUGCGGGAGGGAAAGAAACUCCAACAGGCUCGAAGGCAGAUUAUCUAGAUUGGCUUGCUCGAAGAAGGAUUUUUUCUGCAACUGGCGAGAAGGCAAAAGCGCUUAGGACUUGCCAUGGCUUAUAGCGCCUUUUAUUUUGAUCCAGCAGACCCAUAUCCAACCAAGGGAACUCAAACAGCUUUCAAAGAAGCUUUCCACAAAACAGAACAGGCUAAUAUGGGGAAUAAGGUAAGGCUUUCUUUCCCCCCUUCCCAAAAGAAAAGUGAUAAAAAAAAAAAGCAAUAUGAAUACCAGCUGCCUUCCUAAGCUUGAUUGCCCUAGGACUGUAAUGGGUUCGCCUGGAAAGAACUUCAAUCGAAGGAAUCUCAAUAGGACUGGCCUCGAAGUAAAGGCUAGCUCAGGUCACUAGCUUGAAAGCGGAUACCAAGAUUCCCAAGAAAAUAGAUCGCAGGGCAAGCAUGUCCGUUAUAGAGGGAAAUACAUCCAAGGUGACUAAAUCCACAAAAAAAGUAAUUGGCUUUCUCACAGGAUGGAUCUUGAACCUUCUAUCCCGCCAGCCAGCUUACUUCUUCCGCCCAUUACUACCCUUGCUUACUCUCCCGUAUUCUGAAAAAGCGAAAAGGUCUAUCCCCAUUGCCAACUUUCUUAGUCGUGGAAGGGGCUAUUGCCUUUUCUUUACUAGUUUUUAGAAUCUCUUAGCCCGGCUAUUACGUAUAUCCCGUAGUCCCUAUGUCUGAUGCUGGCCCUUUCGUCCUAGCUUUCAAUUCCGUAAGCAUUCAAAACCCUACCAUUGUUGCAAGGGAAUAGCUUUCCGGUUGUCUGCUAGCCUGUGUAAUAUCCCCCGGGGGCUUCUCUUCUUUUCUUCUAGCAUCUCCCGUAGCGGAGAAGCAUUUCCCUUUGCUUCGAAUCAAUCCUAUCCUCAGUAGGGGCCUAAUGCCAGUCUUCGAGGCAAGCGAAUCAAUCGUAUCAAC